GGGUUGUGAGGUUAAGCGACUAAGCGUACACGGUGGAUGCCCUGGCAGUCAGAGGCGAUGAAGGACGUGCUAAUCUGCGAAAAGCGUCGGUAAGGUGAUAUGAACCGUUACAGCCGGCGAUGUCCGAAUGGGGAAACCCAGUGUGAUUCGUCACACUAUCGUUAACUGAAUACAUAGGUUAACGAGGCGAACCGGGGGAACUGAAACAUCUAAGUACCCCGAGGAAAAGAAAUCAACCGAGAUUCCCCCAGUAGCGGCGAGCGAACGGGGAGCAGCCCAGAGUCUGAAUCAGCUUGUGUGUUAGUGGAACGGUCUGGAAAGUCCGACGGUACAGGGUGAUAGUCCCGUACACCAAAAUGCACAGGCUGUGAACUCGAAGAGUAGGGCGGGACACGUGGUAUCCUGUCUGAAUAUGGGGGGACCAUCCUCCAAGGCUAAAUACUCCUGACUGACCGAUAGUGAACCAGUACCGUGAGGGAAAGGCGAAAAGAACCCCGGCGAGGGGAGUGAAAAAGAACCUGAAACCGUGUACGUACAAGCAGUGGGAGCACCUUCGGGUGUGACUGCGUACCUUUUGUAUAAUGGGUCAGCGACUUAUAUUCUGUAGCAAGGUUAACCGUAUAGGGGAGCCGCAGGGAAACCGAGUCUUAACUGGGCGUUAAGUUGCAGGGUAUAGACCCGAAACCCGGUGAUCUAGCCAUGGGCAGGUUGAAGGUUGGGUAACACUAACUGGAGGACCGAACCGACUAAUGUUGAAAAAUUAGCGGAUGACUUGUGGCUGGGGGUGAAAGGCCAAUCAAACCGGGAGAUAGCUGGUUCUCCCCGAAAGCUAUUUAGGUAGCGCCUCGUGAACUCAUCUUCGGGGGUAGAGCACUGUUUCGGCUAGGGGGUCAUCCCGACUUACCAACCCGAUGCAAACUACGAAUACCGAAGAAUGUUAUCACGGGAGACACACGGCGGGUGCUAACGUCCGUCGUGAAGAGGGAAACAACCCAGACCGCCAGCUAAGGUCCCAAAGUCAUGGUUAAGUGGGAAACGAUGUGGGAAGGCACAGACAGCCAGGAUGUUGGCUUAGAAGCAGCCAUCAUUUAAAGAAAGCGUAAUAGCUCACUGGUCGAGUCGGCCUGCGCGGAAGAUGUAACGGGGCUAAACCAUGCACCGAAGCUGCGGCAGCGACACUAUGUGUUGUUGGGUAGGGGAGCGUUCUGUAAGCCUGCGAAGGUGUGCUGUGAGGCAUGCUGGAGGUAUCAGAAGUGCGAAUGCUGACAUAAGUAACGAUAAAGCGGGUGAAAAGCCCGCUCGCCGGAAGACCAAGGGUUCCUGUCCAACGUUAAUCGGGGCAGGGUGAGUCGACCCCUAAGGCGAGGCCGAAAGGCGUAGUCGAUGGGAAACAGGUUAAUAUUCCUGUACUUGGUGUUACUGCGAAGGGGGGACGGAGAAGGCUAUGUUAGCCGGGCGACGGUUGUCCCGGUUUAAGCAUGUAGGCUGAUUGUCCAGGCAAAUCCGGAUAAUCAAGGCUGAGGUGUGAUGACGAGGCACUACGGUGCUGAAGUAACAAAUGCCCUGCUUCCAGGAAAAGCCUCUAAGCAUCAGGUAACAUCAAAUCGUACCCCAAACCGACACAGGUGGUCAGGUAGAGAAUACCAAGGCGCUUGAGAGAACUCGGGUGAAGGAACUAGGCAAAAUGGUGCCGUAACUUCGGGAGAAGGCACGCUGGUGUGUAGGUGAAGUCCCUGCGGAUGGAGCUGAGACCAGUCGAAGAUACCAGCUGGCUGCAACUGUUUAUUAAAAACACAGCACUGUGCAAACACGAAAGUGGACGUAUACGGUGUGACGCCUGCCCGGUGCCGGAAGGUUAAUUGAUGGGGUUAUCCGUAAGGAGAAGCUCUUGAUCGAAGCCCCGGUAAACGGCGGCCGUAACUAUAACGGUCCUAAGGUAGCGAAAUUCCUUGUCGGGUAAGUUCCGACCUGCACGAAUGGCGUAAUGAUGGCCAGGCUGUCUCCACCCGAGACUCAGUGAAAUUGAACUCGCUGUGAAGAUGCAGUGUACCCGCGGCAAGACGGAAAGACCCCGUGAACCUUUACUAUAGCUUGACACUGAACAUUGAGCCUUGAUGUGUAGGAUAGGUGGGAGGCUUUGAAGCGUGGACGCCAGUCUGCGUGGAGCCAACCUUGAAAUACCACCCUUUAAUGUUUGAUGUUCUAACGUUGGCCCCUUACCGGGGUUGCGGACAGUGUCUGGUGGGUAGUUUGACUGGGGCGGUCUCCUCCCAAAGCGUAACGGAGGAGCACGAAGGUUAGCUAAUCCUGGUCGGACAUCAGGAGGUUAGUGCAAUGGCAUAAGCUAGCUUGACUGCGAGCGUGACGGCGCGAGCAGGUGCGAAAGCAGGUCAUAGUGAUCCGGUGGUUCUGAAUGGAAGGGCCAUCGCUCAACGGAUAAAAGGUACUCCGGGGAUAACAGGCUGAUACCGCCCAAGAGUUCAUAUCGACGGCGGUGUUUGGCACCUCGAUGUCGGCUCAUCACAUCCUGGGGCUGAAGUAGGUCCCAAGGGUAUGGCUGUUCGCCAUUUAAAGUGGUACGCGAGCUGGGUUUAGAACGUCGUGAGACAGUUCGGUCCCUAUCUGCCGUGGGCGCUGGAGAAUUGAGGGGGGCUGCUCCUAGUACGAGAGGACCGGAGUGGACGCAUCACUGGUGUUCGGGUUGUCAUGCCAAUGGCACUGCCCGGUAGCUAAAUGCGGAAGAGAUAAGUGCUGAAAGCAUCUAAGCACGAAACUUGCCCCGAGAUGAGUUCUCCCUGAGACUUUAAGUCUCCUGAAGGAACGUUGAAGACGACGACGUUGAUAGGCCGGGUGUGUAAGCGCAGCGAUGCGUUGAGCUAACCGGUACUAAUGAACCGUGAGGCUUAACCUUACAACGCCGAAG
This 2923-nucleotide ribosomal RNA is filed under the name Klebsiella pneumoniae. RNAcentral describes it as "bacterial LSU rRNA". It matches the Rfam family "Bacterial large subunit ribosomal RNA". Lineage: Bacteria; Pseudomonadati; Pseudomonadota; Gammaproteobacteria; Enterobacterales; Enterobacteriaceae. The record is from RNAcentral.